CCUACGGGUGGCAGCAGUGAGGAAUAUUGGUCAAUGGACGAGAGUCUGAACCAGCCAAGUAGCGUGAAGGAUGACUGCCCUAUGGGUUGUAAACUUCUUUUAUAAAGGAAUAAAACGAGGCACGUGUGCCUUUUUGCAUGUAAUUUAUGAAUAAGGAUCGGCUAACUCCGUGCCAGCAGCCGCGGUAAUACGGAGGAUCCGAGCGUUAUCCGGAUUUAUUGGGUUUAAAGGGAGCGUAGAUGGGUUGUUAAGUCAGUUGUGAAAGUUUGCGGCUCAAACGUAAAAUUGCAAUUGAUACUGGCAGUCGUGAGUACAGUUGAGGUAGGCGGAAUUCGUGGUGUAGCGGUGAAAUGCUUAGAUAUCACGAAGAACCCCGAUUGCGAAGGCAGCUUACUAAACUGUGACUGACAUUGAUGCUCGAAAGUGUGGGUAUCAAACAGGAUUAGCUACCCUUGUAGUC
Molecule: ribosomal RNA, 460 nt
Filed under: uncultured bacterium
Lineage: Bacteria
Description: partial 16S ribosomal RNA
Rfam family: Bacterial small subunit ribosomal RNA
Source: RNAcentral